Molecule: long non-coding RNA, 356 nt
Organism: Propithecus coquereli (Coquerel's sifaka)
Lineage: Eukaryota; Metazoa; Chordata; Mammalia; Primates; Indriidae
Exons: 3
Source: RefSeq, a predicted model, not a curated record
GUUUGAAAUGACUGAGCAGGAAAAGCAGUCAAUCACAGAUGAGCUCAAACAAUGUAAAGACAACCUGAAGCUGCUCCGAGAGAAAGGAAAUAAUCCUUCCAUAUUACAACCCGUCCCAGCCGUAUUCAUCGGCCUAUUCCUGGCUUUCCUGUUUUGGUGUUUCGGUCCAUUGUGGUAGAGAAAGAAACCCUGGCCCUGGAUGCCCAUGUUGGCUGCCCUGGUUGCGGUGACAGCCAUCGUGCUGUAUGUGCCAGGUUUGGCCAGAGCUUCUCCAUGAGAGUGUUCCUUGAGUCUGUACACCGUCCUCCCUCUAGAAGCUGGCAUCACACUCAUGCUGGGGACAAACAGAACCAUUU